Molecule: ribosomal RNA, 253 nt
Filed under: uncultured bacterium
Lineage: Bacteria
Description: partial 16S ribosomal RNA
Rfam family: Bacterial small subunit ribosomal RNA
Source: RNAcentral
UACAGAGGUCUCAAGCGUUGUUCGGAUUCAUUGGGCGUAAAGGGCGCGUAGGCGGCGGGGUAAGUCUGGUGUGAAAUCUCGGAGCUCAACUCCGAAAUUGCACUGGAUACUGCUCUGCUAGAGGGCUGGAGAGGAGAUCGGAAUUCACGGUGUAGCAGUGAAAUGCGUAGAUAUCGGGAGGAAUACCUAUGGCGAAAGCAGGCGACUGGACCGUCACUGACUCUGAUCUGCGAAAGCUAGGGGAGCAAACAGG